Nycticebus coucang (slow loris) is the source of this 1489-nucleotide long non-coding RNA. RefSeq lists it as uncharacterized. The record is from RefSeq and is a predicted model, not a curated record. The transcript is spliced from 5 exons. Lineage: Eukaryota; Metazoa; Chordata; Mammalia; Primates; Lorisidae.
GUCCUAUCUUCGUGUUUCCCACGCUGCUCCCUCCUUGGUGAACUGACCGAAACUGGGUCUGAGGUACGAGCGCCCGCGAGCUCUUCCGUGGGGCUAGGAGGAGAAUGGCGCAAAGGACUUUUCUUACAAGCGGAGGGAACUGGGGAAUGACAGAGAUAAGAAGGCAUGGUGAUAACAAGCUGUAGAUGGCUCCACACAGGAACAGAGAAGCAGGUUCAGCUUGGACAAGAGCCUUUAGGUCUAACUCUCAGUUUACAAGAAAUGCAAAGAACAGAAGAACAAGUUUAAUAACACCAUGAGGAAGCAAUCAGACAAAUACAGAAGCGCUAGAUACUUAGUGGACCCCGACUAGAAGCCAGCUCAGGAGAGAAGAAUCUUCUCCUGCUGUGUGCAAAUCAUCUACCAGAUUGGACCAACUGUAAGUUUGCUACACUGCCAAAGCAUUGUGACUUGGACUUCUAGCCACUGUCCUGCGGCACUUCUACAGAUUGCCCCAAUUGCCCCAGCUCACUUCUGGCUAGUCCUGGUGACCUUCUUUUUGUUAGGCACCAGGGAGGUCCUUGCUGACCUCAUGGCUGAACCCAUGUGGCCUGUCAGCAGCUGGAGAACCAUUCCUAAGAGCUGAGAUAGUGAGUCAGUCCCCAACCCCCCGCCCCGUUGCCCAGAGAAGAUUCCUUUCUCACUGGUUAUGCAACUUCACUCAGGCUAUGUUUUCCUUAGUAGAGUCCAAGAUUUGGAAUCUAUAAGAGAAAGGGCAGGUAAUAAGAGAAAUAAGAGAAAAGGGCAGGUAAUUUCAAGAAUGGAUCAUGUUUCUCCAGGAGAGGGAUUAUUUUUAGGGGUGGUGAUGAGGGAAAUGGCAAGUGGCCUGUGUUCACAGAUAAAUCAGUAAAUAAAAGGAGGACUUGAAUGUAUGUGGAUCCUUGUUCCCAGAGUGGAUUAUUUGGGCAAGAAGCCAGAACAAGAGAGAGCCCUCAGUAGAGGAAAGUACCCACCCACAUGAGUAUAUAGUGUGGUAUUAAAGUACAUUCAGCCUUCAGCCCUGCUCUAUUCACUUUUUCCUAAAUCAAUACUAUCUUUCAUCUUCCAGAAAUGAAAAACUAGCCAAAUUUUCACUGUGGACCUGGAUAGGUUGAGAAAUGUGAUGAGAAUGAAUUUUGCUUCAAACUGGGUUCUGUGGCUACUGGGUUUACACAGGAAAGAAUAAGGACUCCAGGUGGAAGAGGUAGCAACUUCACUUUUUCCCCUCUGCAAUAAGUAAGCAAAAGAUCCACUAAGUGAGAAAACACAUGUGAAAGUACUUGGUAUGCUUGCCAAAUGGAUGAGAGUCAAUAAUAUUGACUUUCUUGUUCUAUCUAAGCUUAGUAUUGGGAUCCAUAAGGCAGAUUUGUGUGUAGGAAGAAUAACAGGGGUACCAAGCAGGUGGGGGGGGUAUUGUCUACUGGGUUGAUAGUUAAAAUUUGACCAUUAGACAUUCUUUCCUUUGACUCUA